This 253-nucleotide ribosomal RNA is filed under the name uncultured bacterium. RNAcentral's name for it is "partial 16S ribosomal RNA". It matches the Rfam family "Bacterial small subunit ribosomal RNA", at positions 524 to 776 of the family's 1533-position model. The record is from RNAcentral.
UACGUAGGGUGCGAGCGUUGUCCGGAUUUAUUGGGCGUAAAGAGCUCGUAGGCGGCUUGUUGCGUCGACCGUGAAAACCCGGGGCUCAACUUCGGGCUUGCGGUCGAUACGGGCGGGCUAGAGUUCGGUAGGGGAGACUGGAAUUCCUGGUGUAGCGGUGAAAUGCGCAGAUAUCAGGAGGAACACCGGUGGCGAAGGCGGGUCUCUGGGUAGUAACUGACGCUGAGGAGCGAAAGCGUGGGUAGCGAACAGG